AAUGUAUGUCAGUAUUUCUGUGGAAAUCUCACUUUUUACGGGACGUCUUUGCAGGGAUGGGACAGAACCUCAUAUCCCAGCAUGCACACGCGAGCAGAGGCUUAGACGCGAAGGCGCUUCCCUGAGCUGCGGCCGUGCGGGCGGUUCUCGCGGCGGGCCGGGCGAGCGCGCGCUGCCGCCGCUACUGCGUUCGCCACGUUCCCCGCUCGCGCUAAUUGCUACAUCACGCACGGCGCUCGCGCUCACAUUCACCGCGCCAACGCCGAGCGAUGAGCUCACAGGGCGGAGAUUCGGCGGAGCAGCACCGGCGGCAGCAGUUGCUGCGUUUAAUUUAUUUGCAUUUGAAGGAGAAUGGCUACGAGAAAGCUGCCAAGGUGCUUAAAAAGCACAUUUGUCAGAAAGAAACGGAAGCGAGCGUGACACUUUAUGAAAUAUACACCGGUUGGAUAAAAACUUCAGAUGGUUUUGGAGAUACGAAGCAGGAGCCUGGACUGAACAGGGAGAGCCCCCCGAAGAAGUCGCACCUGUCGGACUAUGCCGCCGGGGUCGAGGGAGACGAAGUCAAACCCGAAAAAGGUCACAUCAUUGAGAAGACAGAAGAACCUGAAUUUAAGCCCAUCAUUGAUGAUGGAUCUGUGUCCCCCUGUAACAAACCUUUCAUUCCCUCUGUGGUAAAAAAGUCUUCCAAAAGCACAGAAGGUCACUCAGACUGCAAAGAUGACCCUGAUGGAGACCAGCUGCAGACACCCCCUGGCCAUGCCAGUAGUGUGCCUCCUUUAGUGGAAUUAAGCAAACCCACCAUCCCUCAGGAGGAAACAGUUCCCUUGACACAGGACAUGGGAGUAAAAGUUAUAAGCUCAGACAGUGAAAGUCCUGAAGAUUCAGAAGAAGAGGAGCAGAGGCCACAACAGCAGGCUGAAGGUACUACACCAAAACCCACAGCUAUGAAGACUUCAAGUGUAGCAGGGGCCAGUGAGUCUAAGAGUUCAGCUGACAGUAAUGAUUCUCAGAGAGAAGAAGAAGCACCUGUCCAGAAACCUGGGAAAACACCAGUACGUAAAUCCUCCAAACAAAUUCCAACAAAGGGAGCCACUGCAGCCCCACUAAAGUCUAGCCAGGACACCACCAGCCAAGCUUUAGCUACACCCAAGAUCUCUGCUGCCCAGAACAAGGCUGAGUGCUCUGGGAGUGAGAGCAAUGAUAACUCAGUCAGUGACCAGGAAGUGACACAAGACCAGAAAGCUGUAUCGGACAGUCCAAAUAACACCGCUACAGAGACGACCCCUGCACCAGUUAAACCCAGUUCCACCCUUGACCUAACUGCAGCCCCUUUGAAAAGAGAAGAGAGCUCAGACGGUGAUAAUGAGUCAGAAAGUGAAGAGGCAAUUCCACCAACCCAGAAAACCAAAAUCCCAAAAGGGACACCUGCCAAGAUUUCACCCACGAGGGCAUCUAAAACUCCAGUGAAGCUCAGCCAUCCCACACCUAUCCAGGCUAAAGGUGCAAAGAAGGCUGACAGCCCAGAGAGCAGUGAUGACUCAGAGAGUGAAGAGGUAGCAACACCACCACAACAGAAAGCUGGUGUGACACCGAAAGCUAAACUUGUGUCUGGCCCUGCAAAGACAACUGCACUGAAAGGUUCAACACCAGGUAAACCUAGUUAUACCUUGGCUCCCACCACAGCCUCCUCAAAACCAGAAGAGAGCUCAGAGAGCGAUGAUGAAUCAGAAAGUGAAGAGGAGAUUCCCCCAACACAGGUAAUGUCCACUGAGCCCACAGCAAGCACACAUUUAGCCACCCCAGCAAUGGUCAACAGGGGUCAGAGUUCAGACAGGGACAGUGAGGAAUCUGAGAGCGAGGACAACGCACCUGACCAGAAACCAGAGCUGACCAUCAAGCCAAAAGUAUGUAAGGUUAUUCCAGCAAAGUCAUUGAGUGCGGUGACCCCAGUCAGAGCCAAGACCGCACCCACCACCACCUCAAAAACAACCAUGAAGACCUCAGUAUCUGUCAGACGAAAAAAGAGUACAAGCACAGACAGUGAGGACGAGAUUCCAAGAAAGUCAGCCCCAGCUAAACGGGCUUCCAUGGUGUCAGUCAAGCCUGGACAUCCCAUUCCAAGCCAGGUUAAAGCAGCACCCAAGGCCCCUUCUAAAGAGGGAAAGGCCAAGGAGGCUAGCAGUGAUGAUUCGGAGAGUGGUGAAGACCCUUCAGCGAAGAUUGCUGUGGCAGCUUCCGACAUUUUGCCCAAGAUGAAAUGCAAAUCCACAACCCAGACUGUACAGAAGACUCCGAACGCUUCAAAAAAAGUGGCCGGUGGCAGUGAGGACCUGUCCGAAAAGGACGCAUCUCUUGAAAACUCGGCUUUGAAGACUCCCAAAGCUAAACUACGUGCCGUCGCUCCAGAACUUUCAUCUGACAUCAAGAGCAGUACAACCAAGGGCACUGAGGAUGGUGCUUCCAUACUCGUUCAGGAAGUCUCAGCAAUAAUGGAUUCUGAACCUGACAUAUUAGGGACAGCAUCUUCUGAUGCAGCUCCCAAAAACUCAAAGGACGGUGAUGUCAUUGCAGAGGAGCUCUCCCAGACUUCUCUGGACCCAAAAGAAUCUAUGAAGAAAGCCACUGAAAGAAGGAAAAGGAGGAGGAAGAAGAAGAAGAAAAAAAAGAAAGCCUCUGUCCAAUUUGAGGAUGAGAACAUUUCCCCCACAGGCCCUGGUCAGGAGCUGAUUUUACCCAGUGGAGGAUCUGCCAUCAGUUUGGACCAGUUAAUAACAAUGCCAUGCAAAGCUUCUGAAGAGCCAGAAUCAUCUGAGACUGGUGUUAGUCUUAAGAAGGUUGGAUCAAAGAGCUCAAAGUCACUAGUAUCAGGAGUGAAUAGUGAGGGAGAGCCUGAAGUGAAAACCAUAGCAACAGAAGCUAUGCCUCAGGCAAAAAAGAGGAGGAGCACAGACAAAGGAGAUAUGGAACCGAAGAGUAAGAAGAAGAAGAAGAAGAAGAAAGGUGCAGACACAGAAGCAAACCCCACAGAGCUGGGGAACAACCCUCAUUCCGAGAACAAGCUUAAUUUGGAAGAGUCAGAAAAAGAGGCACUGACUCCCUCAGAUGAUGCAACUGCAAAGAUGGGCUCUGAUGACUCUAUGGAGUCCAACUCCACCACCCUCAUUUUGUCUGCAAAGGCCUUAAAGAAGAUUAAGAAAAUGAAGAAGAAAGAGAAGGUAAAAGUUAAGAAUACAGGGAGUAAAAAGAUUAAAGCCCACAAGACUAUGAGUGUCUUUACCUCUGUGGCUGAGCAGCUGCUGGCCAUUACCAAAAAAAAAGAAUUAAAGAAAGCUACUGCUGUGAAGAAGCCGCUAUUGGUGCUUGAUCCGCAAAAAAGGAAGAAAUUUGACAAAGACGGUACUAUAAGAUCAGAGCCAGAAUCUGAAAUUCCUGCUUUUAAGAAAAGAAAAAAGAAAAACAAAAGCAACAGGGAGGAGAAGACACCUUCAAAGAAGAAGCAAACUCAGGACACAGAAGACCAUGAGCUGCAAAUCCAAGGUCUGGCGGAGAGUACGCUUGUGAAGAAGAAAAAAAAGAAAAAGAAAAACAGAUGGAAAGACAGAGGAAAACUGAUCAAGACACCUUUCAAGGGGCCACAGGGGCUUCAUCUGGACACACCUCCACCUUUAGGGACUAGUCCAGAACCUUCUAAAGCCGCCUUGGGAAAAGUGAGAAAAAAGUAAAGAAAAAUUUUGUUUCAAAUGUAUUAUCACGUGUUUUACAUCAUUUUGUAAUGCUGUAAAAAGAAAGUAAUGGACUUUUUUUGUAGAUCGCGUUCCUUCAGAAACAGUGAAUGAUGGAUGGGUGAGUAGAAAAUGUUAAAAUACACUUUGUGUUACUACAUGUUUUCAUUGUAAUGUAUAAUAGAUACACCAUACUAUAUUUAAAAUCUCCACAGGAAUUGCUGUUCUCUGCGGACCCGAGAGUAGAUGAGCUGCUGGCCAGUGAAAGAGGAUCAACUCUUCCACACGGGUUAAACUAGUGUUACUUUAUAGUGAGGAAAAAGUUACUUCAGUUUGUAUGUGCUUUCUGUGAAACAUGUUUGGUUCUAUAGCAUUUUAGCAGUAAGCAAUACUACAGAGGAUGGAAGGUUUUGUUACAGCAAUAUUAUGGAUUUAUUCAGUUUUUCUAAUUGUAUGGGAUAUUUUCAGUUAGAUGCUGCUGACUCCAGUUAAGACUAUGGAAAUGAAUUCUGCAUCCAGUGUGGAUUCUCUGUACUUAAAGGUGACUUUAUAUUUGACAGGGCAGAAACAGUAGCACACAGACUAGCAUGUGAUUAUCACUGUGCUUUGGGAACAAGGUUAUACUGACCAUAGACCACCUUACUGCAGUAGUUGAAAGGGAGGCUUUUCUCCCUUAACACAUAAUACAAGUGUUUCUGCCACACACACUUUUAGACACUGUGAAACAGGCAUGUAACUGUCAUUUUUCUGGUGUUUGUUCAUUUCAGCUUUUAAUAAAUGUUAAUUUUGCAUUAUUUGAAGGAGCA
RNAcentral lists this long non-coding RNA (4528 nucleotides) under Scleropages formosus (Asian bonytongue). RNAcentral's name for it is "lncRNA (ENSSFOG00015030172.1)". Lineage: Eukaryota; Metazoa; Chordata; Actinopteri; Osteoglossiformes; Osteoglossidae. The record is from RNAcentral.